Molecule: ribosomal RNA, 105 nt
Filed under: Chordata environmental sample
Lineage: Eukaryota; Metazoa; Chordata
Description: partial 12S ribosomal RNA
Source: RNAcentral
GCUUUACGACCCUAAACACAGAUAAUUACAAUAAAACAAAUUAUUUGCCAGAGUACUACCAGCAACAGCUUAAACUCAAGGACUUGGCGGUGCUUUAUAUCCUUC